RNAcentral lists this ribosomal RNA (1162 nucleotides) under Brinjal little leaf phytoplasma. RNAcentral describes it as "bacterial SSU rRNA". It matches the Rfam family "Bacterial small subunit ribosomal RNA", at positions 194 to 1353 of the family's 1533-position model. The record is from RNAcentral. Lineage: Bacteria; Bacillati; Mycoplasmatota; Mollicutes; Acholeplasmatales; Acholeplasmataceae.
UUUGUUUUUAAAAGACCUUCUUACGAAGGUAUGCUUAAAGAGGGGCUUGCGCCACAUUAGUUAGUUGGUAGAGUAAAAGCCUACCAAGACGAUGAUGUGUAGCUGGACUGAGAGGUUGAACAGCCACAUUGGGACUGAGACACGGCCCAAACUCCUACGGGAGGCAGCAGUAGGGAAUUUUCGGCAAUGGAGGAAACUCUGACCGAGCAACGCCGCGUGAACGAUGAAGUAUUUCGGUAUGUAAAGUUCUUUUAUUGAAGAAGAAAAAGUAGUGGAAAAACUAUAUUGACGUUAUUCAAUGAAUAAGCCCCGGCUAACUAUGUGCCAGCAGCCGCGGUAAGACAUAGGGGGCGAGCGUUAUCCGGAAUUAUUGGGCGUAAAGGGUGCGUAGGCUGUUAGAUAAGUCUAUAAUUUAAUUUCAGUGCUUAACGCUGUCUUGUUAUAGAAACUGUCUUGACUAGAGUGAGAUAGAGGCAAGCGGAAUUCCAUGUGUAGCGGUAAAAUGUGUAAAUAUAUGGAGGAACACCAGAAGCGUAGGCGGCUUGCUGGGUCUUUACUGACGCUGAGGCACGAAAGCGUGGGUAGCAAACAGGAUUAGAUACCCUGGUAGUCCACGCCGUAAACGAUGAGUACUAAGUGUCGGGGUAAAACUCGGUACUGAAGUUAACACAUUAAGUACUCCGCCUGAGUAGUACGUACGCAAGUAUGAAACUUAAAGGAAUUGACGGGACUCCGCACAAGCGGUGGAUCAUGUUGUUUAAUUCGAAGAUACACGAAAAAUCUUACCAGGUCUUGACAUACUCUGCAAAGCUAUAGAAAUAUAGUGGAGGUUAUCAGGGAUACAGGUGGUGCAUGGUUGUCGUCAGUUCGUGUCGUGAGAUGUUAGGUUAAGUCCUAAAACGAACGCAACCCUUGUCGUUAAUUGCCAGCACAUAAUGGUGGGGACUUUAACGAGACUGCCAAUUAAACAUUGGAGGAAGGUGAGGAUUACGUCAAAUCAUCAUGCCCCUUAUGAUCUGGGCUACAAACGUGAUACAAUGGCUGUGACAAAGAGUAGCUGAAACGCGAGUUUUUAGCCAAUCUCAAAAAAGCAGUCUCAGUUCGGAUUGAAGUCUGUAACUCGACUUCAUGAAGUUGGAAUCGCUAGUAAUCGCGAAUCAGC